Long non-coding RNA from Eucalyptus grandis, 835 nucleotides. RefSeq lists it as uncharacterized. The record is from RefSeq and is a predicted model, not a curated record. NCBI's taxonomy places the organism in Eukaryota, Viridiplantae, Streptophyta, Magnoliopsida, Myrtales, Myrtaceae. The transcript has 3 exons.
CUCGUCCAUAUUGAUGUUGCUGCUAUCAUGGCUGGCCGGUGACGCUGCCAAUCAUGACCACAUGCCUUGCUCAUCCAUGACCUCAAAAGGCAAACUGAAAAAACAAACGCGAGGCGGCUCGUCCGAGUUUCAUGGUCGGUGGAAGUAGAAACAUAUUUUAAUUGUCUUUUCCCAUCCACAUCAACAAACACGAGUCAAUUUAUAAGCGGACGUGAGUAAAAAAUACUCGCAACAUGACCAGCAGUUGAUGUAAACGCUAUGGACCCAUCGAAUAUUUUAUCGAGGCGAAGGUAGCUAUCGGAAACGGUGGCUGUCGAGAUGGUCUUGGGGGGUCGUGGAGGAAGCAUGGGGCAAUGGUCCUUGCUAGGCUAGCCUCAUCCCCGGCGGGAGGUGAACGCAAGAUGAUGUUCUAUGAUGCAACACACUGAAGCGAAGAACCGGUUCCUUUGCUGUAAAACCAAUCUCGAAUUACAGGCAGUCCAGAUCGGAAGAGGGGCAAGGGAGACCCUGAGUUCGGUUGGAGUUUCUCUAGGAACUGGCGCUUUACUUUGAACGAUGUUUAUCAUUUGGCUGAAGGUUUGGAUGCUUGGAGAAAGCCGGAAGAAGACUGGGAGCUGCGCGUGGAAAGCGGAUGCUGUUCCUCACAUUCGAUUUUUCAUUUGGUUAAUGUCACUCACAGCAUUGCCACGAGAUCCACUCUGGCGAGAAGAGAUUUGAAUGUCAGCACUAUCUGUCCUUAAUGAAUGUUGGGCUAACAUUGGUGCUCCUUCUCCCCUUCACCAUAGUUAUGAUCUUAGUCUGAGGGACUGGAUCGGCGCUAAGUCGGACACACAUU